Salvelinus fontinalis (brook trout) is the source of this 6253-nucleotide RNA transcript. It is a transcript of the gene named zinc finger protein 883-like, with no coding region annotated. The record is from RefSeq and is a predicted model, not a curated record. NCBI's taxonomy places the organism in Eukaryota, Metazoa, Chordata, Actinopteri, Salmoniformes, Salmonidae. The transcript has 3 exons.
GCUGUUGCAUUGUCGUAGAGGGGAACAGGAAGUUCCGGGUAGAAAACGAAAGAACUGUGUAAUGUCGUUAGUGGUUGUGUUCGUUUCAACUGUAUUAUUGUAGGCUGACUCAGAUUAAGUCUGAGGCCGGUAACAUCAACAGUGAGGACAAACCCAGCCUGCCACUCUCCUUCCACACUGAGUAGAAACCUACAGUCACUGGGUCCUGAUUGUGACAGUGGAGCCCAGUUUGCACUGCAGGAUCCAGAGAUGGCAUCAGUGAAGCUGGAGGACUGCAGUCAAACACUGGAGCUGAAUGUCAACAUUACAGAUGAAGAAGAAGAGGAGGAGAAGAUUAGAACAACUGUUAGUCAUGGUGAAGGAGAGGACCAAACUGCAGUGCGGCUAGUGUUCAACAAGUUUAUUUAGACGAAAUAAACGGUAACACUAUACAAAUAACAAAUGUGAAAACCGAGACAGCCCUAUCUGGUGCAGACAAAACACAGAGACAGGAAACAAUCACCCACAAAACCCCAACACAAAACAAGCCACCUAUAUAUGAUUCUCAAUCAGGGACAACGAUAGACAGCUGCCUCUGAUUGAGAACCAUAUUAGGCUGAACAUAGAAACAGACAAACUAGACACACAACAUAGAAUUCCCACCCAGCUCACGUCCUGACCAACACUAAACAAGCAAAACGCAUAAGAACUAUGGUCAGGACGUGACAACCAUUGUGGCGGCUCAUUGCUCUAUCAGUACUACACCCCUGCAGUCUGCUGCACCGAACUAGUGAUUGAUGCUCACCUAGCCUACUCUUUUGCCUUACACAACAUUUGGUGAUGCAGAAAUGAGAGAACAUGUUUUUAUGAAAAUCUGGGAAUAUUUGGCCAAGGAAACAUUUCUGGUUGGUCUCAAGGAAUGUCACACAGGGAGACUUAAAACAGGAUUGAGUGAAGUAGCAGCUAAUGCUCAUGGAGAGCCUCACAAUUAUUAUUAUUAACCUUUAUUUAACUAGGCAAGUCAGUUAAUAACAAAUUAUUAUGUACAAUGACGGCCUACACCGGCCAAACCCGGACGACACUUGGUCAACUGUGCGCCGCCCUAUGGGACUCCCAAUCACGGCCGGUUGUGAUACAGCCUGGAAUCUAACCAGGGUGUCUGUAGUGACGCUUUCAGUGCCUUAAACUGCUGUGCCACUCGGGAGCUCAUAAGUUGAAUGAAAUUUCAUCAUCUUUCAGUCUAUUUGAGAUAUUUACUUCCUUUUGUAGCUCUUCACCAGUUUCUUGAAUGUUUAUUGUACAUAAAUAUAAACACAACAUGCAACAAUUUCAAUGAUUUUACCGAGUUACAGUUCAUAUAAGGGGCGGCAGGUAGCCUGGUGGUUAGAGCGUUGGGCCAGUAACCGAAAAGUUGCUGGAUCGAAUCCCUGAGCUGACAAGGUAAAAAUCUGUCGUUCUGCCCCUGAACAAUGCAGUUAACCCACUGUUCCCCGGGAGGCCAUCAUUGUUAGUAAGAAUUGUUCUUAACUGACUUGCCUAGUUAAAUAAAGGUUAAAUCUAAUUAAAAAAAAAUAAUAUAUAUAUAUAUAUAUAUAUAUAAUAAGGACAUCAGUCAAUUGAAAUGAAUUAGGCCCUAACCUGUAGAUUUCACGUGACUGGGCAGGGGUGCAGCCAUGGGUGGGCCUUGGAAGGCAUAGGCCCACCCACUUGGCAGCCAGACCCACCUCAGGUCCUGGGCUGACGUUAUUACACAUGGUCUACGAUUGUGAGGCCGGUUGGACGCAUUGCCAAAUACUCUAAAACGACGUUGGAGGCAGCUUAUGGUAGAGGGACGCUGUGUUCUACUCCCUUCACAGAACAGCGCAAACUAGCUUUAACCAGAAUAGAAAGAGCAGUGGGAGGCCCCGGUGCACAACUGGGCAAGAGGACAAGUACAUUAGUGUCUAGUUUGAGAAACAGACGUCUCACAAGUCCUCAACUGGCAGCUUAAUUAAAUAGUACACGCAAAACAACAGUCUCAACGUCAACUGUGAAGAGGUGACUCCGGGAUGCUGGCCUUCUAGACACUAUUCUGGUUAGAGCCAGUUUGCGCUGUUCUGUGAAGGGAGUAGUACACAGCGUUGUAUGAGAUCUUCAGCCGUUUCCAGCUACAAGAGUCAUUUACAACAUUAACAAUGUCUACACUGUAUUUCUGAUCAAUUUGACAUAAUUUGAAUGGACAGAAAUGUGCUUUUCUUUCAAAAACAAGGACAUUUGUAAAUGACUCCAAUCUUUAGAAUUUAUUCAUUUAUUUCACCACUAGUGGUAGUGUAUUUAUUUCUAUUAUUAUAAAAAAAAUUACCUUUAUUUAACUUCCUUAGCAUACUGGUUAUUGUCCUGAAUUUCAGAUGACUGACGUGCCCAAAGUAAACUGCCUGUAAACUGGCCAGAAGCUAUGAUAUGCAUAUACUAGAUAGCAUUGGAUAGAAAACACUCUGAAGUUUCUAAAACUGUUAAAAUAAUGUCUGUGACUAUAACAGAACUGAUAUGGCACGAAAAUCCAUCCGGAAUGUUUAUUUUUUGAGGUCACAGGUUUUUUCAGUGCUUGCCUAUGGGAUAUACAAAUAGAUAGGACCCAGAUUGCAGUUCCUAUGGCUUCCACUAGAUGUCAACAGUCUUUAGAAUGGGUUUCAGGUAUUUUGUAGUUUUUUGAAAUCUGACAACGCAGUUGGAUUAACAAGAAGCUUUUAAAUGAUGUAAGACACUUGUAUUUUCAUGAAUGUUUAAUAUUACGAUUUUUGUAUUUUGAAUUUUGCGCUCUGCAAUUUCACCGGAUGUUGUCGUAGGUGUCCCGCUAUCGUUUGGACAUGCGCCCAAACAGGUUAACUAGGCAAGUCAGUUAGGAACAAAUUCUUAUUUUCAAUGACGGCCUAGGAACAGUGGGUUAACUGCCUUAUUCAGGGGCAGAACGACAGAUUUUUACCUUGUCAGCUCGGGGAUUUGAUCUUGCCACCUUUCGGUUGCUCUAGCCACUAGGCUACCUGUCACACGAUAUGACCAGAAGAGGAAUGGUCACCGCUCUGAGCCUGGUUCCUCUCUACGUUUCUUCCUAGGUUCCUGCUUUCUAGCGAGUUUUUUGUGGCCACUGUGCUUCUACAUCUGCAUUGCUUGCUCUUUGGGGAUUUUAGGCUGGGUUUCUGUAAAGGACUUUGUGACAACUACUGAUGUAAAAGGGCUUCAUAAAAUACAUUUGAUUGACAUGUAUAUCACACCAACUGACUGGUUCUUCUGAUGUUUACACAGGAUACCAUGUAGAGACAUUCUCUACAUCCAGAGAGCAACAGCAGGAAGAUCAGAGAGCUAAGAGGUCUCAUCACUGCCCACAUUGUGAAGAGAUUUUCCCAUUUCUAUCAAAGCUAAAAAUACACCUAAAAAUACACACAGGAGAGAAGCCCUACUCCUGCUCUGGCUGUGGAAAAUGCUUCAAAACAUCAAAUGAGCUAAAAGUUCAUAAGAGAACACACACAGGAGAGAAGCCUUUUUCCUGCCCUGACUGUGGAACUCGGUUCUCUAAACUUAACCACUUACAAUCACAUGAACGUAUACAUACAGGGGAGAAGCCAUACUCCUGCUCUGACUGUGUAAAAUAUUUCAGAACAUCAACUCAACUAAAAGUUCAUCAGAGAACACACACAGGACAGAAGCCUUUUUCUUGCCCUGACUGUGGAACUAGGUUCUCUAAACUUUCCAUCUUAAAAUCACAUGAACGUAUACACACAGGAGAGAAGCCUUACUUCUGCUCUGACUGUGUAAAAUGCUUCAAAACAUCAACUCAGCUAAAAGUUCAUCAGAGAACACACACAGGAGAGAAGCCUUUCUUCUGCCCUGACUGUGGAACUAGUUUCUCUCAAGUUUCCUACUUAAAAUCACAUGAACGUAUACAUACAGGGGAGAAGGCAUACUCCUGCUCUGACUGUGGAAAAUGUUAUAAAACAGCAACUGAGCUAAAACUUCACCAGAGAACACACACAGGAGAGAAGCCUUACUUCUGCUCUGACUGUGGAACUAGUUUCUCUCAUCUUUCCAACUUAAAUAGACAUGAACGUAUACACACAGGAGAGAAGCCUUACUUUUGCUCUGACUGUGUAAAAUGCUUCAAUACAUCAACUCAGCUAAAAGUUCAUCAGAGAACACACACAGGAGAGAAGCCUUUCUUCUGCCCUGACUGUGGAACUAGUUUCUCUCACCUUUCCUACUUAAAAUCACAUGAACGUAUACAUACAGGGGAGAAGGCAUACUCCUGCCCUGACUGUGGAAAAUGUUAUAAAACAGCAACUGAGCUAAAACUUCACCAGAGAACACACACAGGAGAGAAGCCUUACUUCUGCUCUGACUGUGGAACUAGUUUCUCUCAACUUUCCAACUUAAAAACACAUGAACGUAUACACACAGGAGAGAAGCCUUACUUCUGCUCUGACUGUGUAAAAUGCUUCAAAACAUCAACUCAGCUAAAAGUUCAUAAGAGAACACACACAGGGGAGAAAAAAAGUUCAUCAGAGAACACAGGCAUGAGAGAAGCCUGCUUACGUCUGCUCUGACUUUUGGGUGAGUUUCUCUCACCAUAGCAACUUAACACACCAAUGUUUAGACACGGGAGAAGCCUUACUCCUGCUCUGUGGAGGGGUGAGCGUGUAAGUCAAACGUCUAGCCAAAGGCUGCGUGUUUGAAUCUCAUCAAGGAGGACUUUAGCAAUUUAGCUAAUUAGCAACUUUGCAACUUCUUACUAUUUUUUAGCUAUGUUAGCAUGUUAGCUUAGCAUGCAACUACUUAGCAUGUUAGCUAACCUUUCCCCUAAACCCAUUUAACUCUACCUUAAACCCCUCACCCCUAACCUAGCUAACGUUAGGAACAACAAAUUGGAAUUCGUAAGAAAUCAUACAUAUUACAAGUUCGUAACAUAUUGUAUGAAUAGCAAUGCGUAACAUAACAUAUGAAUUGUAAUUCUUAACAUCUGAUACGUCCUACAAGUCGUAUUAUACUGAACAACAAUCUAAACGCAACAAUUUCAAAGAUUAACAGUUUGUAUAAGGAUAUCAAUCAAUUGAAAUAAAUGAGGCCCUAAUCAAUGGAUUUCACAUGACUGGGCAGGGGCUCAGGCUUGGGUGGGACUUUGGAGGGCAUAGGCCCACUUGGGAGCCAGGCCCAGCAAAUCAGCAUGAGUUUUUCCCCACAAAAGGUCUUUAUUACAGACAUAAAUACGACUCACCCCCCUCCCAGACAAUCCUGCAGGUGAAGAGGUCCUGGGCUGCCGUGGAUACAUGUGAUCUGCAGUUGUGAGGCCGGUUGGAUGUACUGCCAAAUUCUCUAAAAGGACGUUAGAGGUGUCUUAUGGUAGAGAUAUAAAUAUUGAGUUCUCUGGCAACAGCUCUGGUGGACAUUCCUGCAUUCAUCAUGACAAUUGCACAUUCCCUAAACUUGAGACAAAUGUGACAUUGUGUUGUGUGGCCUUUUUUUGUCUCCCAGCACAAGGUGCACCUGUGUAAUGAUAAUGCUGUUUUAUCAGCAUCUUGAUAUGCCACACCUAUCAGGUGGAUGGAUUAUCUUGACAAAGGCUGAAAUGCUCAUUAACAGGGAUAUAAACAAAGUUGUGCACAACAUUUGAGAGACAUUAGCUUUUUGUGCAUAUGGGACAUUGCUGGAUUUUAUUUCAGCUCAUGAAACCAACACUUUACAUGUUUAGUUUAUAUUUUAGUUUAUUUACUGUGAUAGUCCAAACAUACUAAAUGGAGUGGCACUGAAGUUUUUGUAUAUUAUAAAACGUUUUGCUCUGAGACCAGGUUGUCCCUCUGCAGUAUUCUGUGGGAAGGAGCUAGUAUACCCUUUUUAUUUGUUUUUAUUGAACCUUUGAUAAACUAGGCAAGUCAGUUAAGAACCAAUUCUUAUUUACAAUGGUGGCCUAGGAACAGUGGGUUCAGAUUUUUACCUUGUCAGCUCGGGGAUUCAAUCUAGAAACCUUUUGGUUAUUGGCCCAACACUCUAACCACUAGGCUACCUUCCACCCCUAACAUGUAUCAGAUAGAGAUGGUGUGAUGAUCACUUUUCACCAUUAGUUUGGGGGGGAUUGUUUUACAACUUUAUUUAAUGAUACACAGUUUAUGAAAUGAAUACAUGUGUUUAUUAAUUGUCUUUAAAGCUAGAUGAGUUAUUUUAGUUACUGAUCAUGAAUGUGUUUGGAUAACUGCAUUGAAGAAAACGUUAUUGAUCUGCCAAUGAAAAAUAAAGUUACAGGAAUAUG